GACGAACGCUGGCGGCGUGCUUGACACAUGCAAGUCGAGCGGUGAACCACCUUCGGGUGGGGAUCAGCGGCGAACGGGUGAGUAACACGUGGGCAACCUGCCCCUAGCUCUGGGAUAACCCCGGGAAACCGGGGCUAAUACCGGAUACGACCUCGAGCGGCAUCACUCGAGGUGGAAAGGGUUUACUGGCUAGGGAUGGGCCCGCGGCCUAUCAGCUUGUUGGUGGGGUAACGGCCUACCAAGGCGACGACGGGUAGCCGGCCUGAGAGGGUGACCGGCCACACUGGAACUGAGACACGGUCCAGACUCCUACGGGAGGCAGCAGUGGGGAAUAUUGGGCAAUGGAGGAAACUCUGACCCAGCGACGCCGCGUGCGGGAUGAAGGCCUUCGGGUUGUAAACCGCUUUCAGUAGGGAAGAAGCGAAAGUGACGGUACCUACAGAAGAAGCACCGGCUAACUAUGUG
RNAcentral lists this ribosomal RNA (465 nucleotides) under uncultured bacterium. Its description in RNAcentral is "bacterial SSU rRNA". It matches the Rfam family "Bacterial small subunit ribosomal RNA", at positions 28 to 507 of the family's 1533-position model. The record is from RNAcentral.